CAGGAGGCGAUGCUCUGCUCCUCUUUGCCAGUGGCUUGGAGGGACUGGUUGCUGUGGCAGCAGAGAGGAAAAGGCAAGGAGCAAGAGUGUAGCACCUGUUUCCUUCACCUGGCAUGAACGCUUGGACUACUCCGGCUAAGGUGUUUGCUGAGCAGACCUGCGUGGGAAGCAAUGCUAGCUGAACCUGUACAAAGGGAGAAACUCAUUAGAGCUGCUGAAAAGACUGCGGAGAGGCGCUUUGUGGAUUGAUUCAGCACUACGAGCGGAUCCAAGCCUUGUAUCAACAAAUACCUUAACAACGUCGAAAGUAGCCUAUUUUAAGAGAAAAUAUGCAGAAGAAGAAGAAGAUCUACAUCAGGAUUACCAGGGGUAUUUUCCAAAACACCUGAUCCUACCUGAAGACCGGACUUGUAUUUUGAAACUUUCUCUGCAGAAGCUUCAGUUUCUGGAAGACCCCGAGAUCUAUCUCCGCCGGUCGGUCUUGAUUAACAAUUUGCUGCGGAAGAUCCACCUGGAGACCGAGCAGGAACGCUAUGAGUACUUUAAGGGAGCCCCGUGCUGCCGGACUGCCUACUCGGAUGCCAGAAAACGGCUGAAGUUCAUGGUGCAGGAAUGCCAGUCUCAGUCCCUUUAUUAUGAAGAGCUGCAUUCGUAUCAUAUCGUGCCUUACGAACCUACGGAGAAUGCCCUUUAUGGAGUGGGCUAUUCCAAUGGCCAUUUGGAGCAAAAUUCCCAGUUGCUUAUUUAUCAGAUGAAGUAAGGUGGCUUGUCUUUCUCAUGUUCGUUCCUGAACAUGGUGGCUUCUAAGCAUGUUAGUGGUUCUGAAUGUAAGGGAAGGUCUUCAGCUGUCUUGGGGAGAGCUUCAACAACGGCGUUCAGGACUUAGGCCUCUUUGGUUGACUUGGUGUCUGUAAGAAAUCAGUGCAAUAGCAGGAUUUCUGGGAAGCAGAAAGACCUUUAACCCAUUCGCGG
Anolis sagrei ordinatus is the source of this 972-nucleotide long non-coding RNA. RefSeq lists it as uncharacterized. Lineage: Eukaryota; Metazoa; Chordata; Lepidosauria; Squamata; Anolidae. The record is from RefSeq and is a predicted model, not a curated record.